CCAAAUUUCCUCUAAUUUUUUUAUAUAAAUUGUAUAGUGUAUUAUUUAAUAAAUAAAAAUUAUAAUAAUUAUUAUUAUAAUAUUAUUAUUAUAAAGAAAUUGAAACACUUAAACAUUCCUCCAUUCAUCAGUAUAGCGAAUAGGGUUUAUUCCCCAUUCUCAAAUCUCAACGUUAGCUCUCCAAAACCCUAAACUCUCAUCAUUUGAUGACAGCCUAAUCUAGUGUUUCAUUGAAAUUUGUUCUUGAUUUCUUCGUUCAAAGUCACAAUUAUGUCGGCAACUGUUCUUCAUUACUUCUCUAGGGUUCACGACUAUUCAAUUUUGGUGUGUUGUUUUGGGUAAGUUUUGUAUUUUUGUUCUUGAUUGUUGUCAUCCGUGUGAUUGAGUGGGGAUUUUGUGAUUCAACAAGACCCAUAUCACAUUCACUUCGACCUCGCAUUGAGAUGUGAAUGAGCUUUCCCUAUUUCAAUUCAAGGAGAUUCCAAGAGUAUUAGCUUGAAAUUCGAACUCAACCAAAGCUAUCCGGAAACAAGAUCAUGCUGACUAUUUUACUAGGUGACUUCUCUUAUGCCAUUAGAAAUAGGUGAAAACUGCAUUACCAGUACCUUUUUGGAUUCAAAAACUUGCAUCACUCUUAGCUUGGUACCACUUCUCUCUGGUAAGAAACACUGCUAAAUCUCUUUAGGCUUAAUUUUCUCUGCUCUGUAUGUUUCAUAGUACUACUACUACAAGCAUUUAUUUAAUAUAUGUAUAAUAGGUAGGUGGAAUACUUAGAACUAAUAUUGCCAAUGCCGAUAUAUGUAUGUGAUAUAAUAGAUAGAACAA
Molecule: long non-coding RNA, 825 nt
Organism: Lycium ferocissimum
Lineage: Eukaryota; Viridiplantae; Streptophyta; Magnoliopsida; Solanales; Solanaceae
Exons: 2
Source: RefSeq, a predicted model, not a curated record